This 465-nucleotide ribosomal RNA is filed under the name Vreelandella stevensii. RNAcentral's name for it is "partial 16S ribosomal RNA". It matches the Rfam family "Bacterial small subunit ribosomal RNA", at positions 338 to 795 of the family's 1533-position model. Lineage: Bacteria; Pseudomonadati; Pseudomonadota; Gammaproteobacteria; Oceanospirillales; Halomonadaceae. The record is from RNAcentral.
CCUACGGGGGGCUGCAGUGGGGAAUAUUGGACAAUGGGGGGAACCCUGAUCCAGCCAUGCCGCGUGUGUGAAGAAGGCCCUCGGGUUGUAAAGCACUUUCAGUGAGGAAGAACGCCUGGUGGUUAAUACCCAUCAGGAAAGACAUCACUCACAGAAGAAGCACCGGCUAACUCCGUGCCAGCAGCCGCGGUAAUACGGAGGGUGCGAGCGUUAAUCGGAAUUACUGGGCGUAAAGCGCGCGUAGGUGGCUUGAUAAGCCGGUUGUGAAAGCCCCGGGCUCAACCUGGGAACGGCAUCCGGAACUGUCAAGCUAGAGUGAAGGAGAGGAAGGUAGAAUUCCCGGUGUAGAGGUGAAAUGCGUAGCGAGCGGGAGGAAUACCAGUGGCGAAGGCGGCCUUCUGGACUGACACUGCCACUGAGGUGCGAAAGCGUGGGUAGCAAACAGGAUUAGCUACCCCUGUAGUC